GGAUAGCUCAGUCAGUGGAGCAUGAGACUCUUAACCUCAGGGCUGUGGGUUCAAGCCCCGCGUUGGGCA
This is a non-coding RNA of Podarcis lilfordi (Lilford's wall lizard), 69 nucleotides long. NCBI's taxonomy places the organism in Eukaryota, Metazoa, Chordata, Lepidosauria, Squamata, Lacertidae. The record is from the annotation of a GenBank genome assembly.